This 440-nucleotide ribosomal RNA is filed under the name uncultured bacterium. RNAcentral's name for it is "partial 16S ribosomal RNA". It matches the Rfam family "Bacterial small subunit ribosomal RNA", at positions 338 to 795 of the family's 1533-position model. The record is from RNAcentral.
CCUACGGGAGGCAGCAGUGGGGAAUAUUGCACAAUGGGCGAAAGCCUGAUGCAGCGACGCCGCGUGAGGGAAGAAGGAUUUCGGUAUGUAAAGCUCUAUCAGCAGGGAAGAAAAUGACGGUACCUGAUUAAGAAGCACCGGCUAACUACGUGCCAGCAGCCGCGGUAAUGCGUAGGGGGCAAGCGUUAUCCGGAUUUACUGGGUGUAAAGGGGGCGUAGAGGGACGAACAGGUGCGGAGUGAAAUGCCGGGGCUUAACCCCGGAACUGCUUUGGAAACUGUGCAGCUAGAGUGCAGGAGAGGUAAGUGGAAUUCCUAGUGUAGCGGUGAAAUGCGUAGAUAUUAGGAGGAACACCAGUGGCGAAGGCGGCUUACUGGAACGGAACUGACGCUGAGGCACGAAAGCGUGGGGAGCAAACAGGAUUAGAUACCCUAGUAGUC